This 538-nucleotide ribosomal RNA is filed under the name uncultured bacterium. RNAcentral's name for it is "bacterial SSU rRNA". It matches the Rfam family "Bacterial small subunit ribosomal RNA", at positions 777 to 1315 of the family's 1533-position model. The record is from RNAcentral.
AAUAGAUACCCGGGUAGUCCACCCCGUAAACGUUGGGAACUAGUUGUGGGGUCCAUUCCACGGAUUCCGUGACGCAGCUAACGCAUUAAGUUCCCCGCCUGGGGAGUACGGCCGCAAGGCUAAAACUCAAAGGAAUUGACGGGGACCCGCACAAGCGGCGGAGCAUGCGGAUUAAUUCGAUGCAACGCGAAGAACCUUACCAAGGCUUGACAUAUACGAGAACGCUGCAGAAAUGUAGAACUCUUUGGACACUCGUAAACAGGUGGUGCAUGGUUGUCGUCAGCUCGUGUCGUGAGAUGUUGGGUUAAGUCCCGCAACGAGCGCAACCCUCGUUCUAUGUUGCCAGCACGUAAUGGUGGGAACUCAUGGGAUACUGCCGGGGUCAACUCGGAGGAAGGUGGGGAUGACGUCAAAUCAUCAUGCCCCUUAUGUCUUGGGCUUCACGCAUGCUACAAUGGCCGGUACAAAGGGCUGCAAUACCGUAAGUGGAGCGAAUCCCAAAAAGCCGGUCCAGUUCGGAUUGAGGUCUGCAACUCGA